Molecule: long non-coding RNA, 840 nt
Organism: Lathyrus oleraceus (garden pea)
Lineage: Eukaryota; Viridiplantae; Streptophyta; Magnoliopsida; Fabales; Fabaceae
Exons: 2
Source: RefSeq, a predicted model, not a curated record
CUUAAGCGCUUCAUUUGUCAAAAAACAACUCUCUCUCUCUCUUCCUCUCAAAGCAAACACAAGCUCUGCAAACUUCUAAAUACCUCUGACUUCAACCUACCAGAGAAGAUGGCGGUUGCCGGCCAACGGCGGCGGCACCACCUUCUUCUCCGGCGAACCACCACUCAAAACCUAAAUCUCAAAUACCAACUCCCCUUUAUUCACGCUCGCGGUUGCGGAUCCGGCCACAAAAACAACAAAAUCCCAACCACAAACCCAAAUCGGAAACCCUAAAACAGAAAACCUAAUUCGCACAAAACGAAAUUAAACCCAAGAUCUACGGAGUCUCAAGAAAUUACCAAAGGAAAAAGGAUCAACGAGAAGAGCUCUAUAUCAAGACGAAAUUAAAAGGGAAAGAAGAAACUCAAGACUACCUACACAGAGAGAUUUUGGCGUGGUUCCGGCGACAAACUCGAAGGUGAAGUGAUGUUGAAUUGAUUGAAAAGGGGCGCUGGCUUUUUGAGUUGGGGCACUACACGAAGGGACCAUUCGCUUUGGAGAAAGUCUCUGAAGACUACUUCAAACCAUUAGACUCCAUUCAAUUAUUUUCAGAAUUUUAGAUUAUUUUUGUAACCUGUAAAUUAGUCAAAUGCUCCUUUGGAUUUUUGUGUAAAUUUGGAUUAUUUGGAGUUUUUUUUUAAUAUGUAAAUUUAAUUUGAAACUUCCUUUUUUUUGGAGAACUAUGUAACUACUUUUUUGGGAUUAUCAACAAGAUCUUUUUAUAAUUUUAAUUUAAGCUCUAUUAGAGUAACUUGUAACAUUUGGACUUAAUUGAAAUAUGAUUUGGAAUAUCACUUGGAA